AACGAACGCUGGCGGCAGGCCUAACACAUGCAAGUCGAACGCCCCGCAAGGGGAGUGGCAGACGGGUGAGUAACACGUGGGAACAUACCCUUUGGUUCGGAAUAACUCAGGGAAACUUGAGCUAAUACCGGAUAAGCGCGAGAGCGGAAAGAUUUAUCGCCGAAGGAUUGGCCCGCGUCCGAUUAGCUAGUUGGUGAGGUAAUGGCUCACCAAGGCGACGAUCGGUAGCUGGUCUGAGAGGAUGAUCAGCCACAUUGGGACUGAGACACGGCCCAAACUCCUACGGGAGGCAGCAGUGGGGAAUAUUGGACAAUGGGCGCAAGCCUGAUCCAGCCAUGCCGCGUGAGUGAUGAAGGCCCUAGGGUUGUAAAGCUCUUUCGCCAGGGACGAUAAUG
RNAcentral lists this ribosomal RNA (395 nucleotides) under uncultured bacterium. Its description in RNAcentral is "bacterial SSU rRNA". It matches the Rfam family "Bacterial small subunit ribosomal RNA", at positions 29 to 453 of the family's 1533-position model. The record is from RNAcentral.